Molecule: unclassified non-coding RNA, 279 nt
Filed under: Hevea brasiliensis (rubber tree)
Lineage: Eukaryota; Viridiplantae; Streptophyta; Magnoliopsida; Malpighiales; Euphorbiaceae
Source: RNAcentral
UUUCAUCUGUCUUUAUGCCUGGCUGCCAACACAAGCAACAAUCAGAAAAUUCAAUAAACAGAAAACCUUUUCUUCAGUACAAUUCACAAUCUCUAUUUUCUUUCUAACUAGAGUACUCAUUAACUAAAAAGAUUUUACAACUAAUUGCAAAGCUUUGUUAGCAUAAAAGAUGCAGGUUAACAACUAUAAAAUUAUUAUGCAAUGAUAAGAAGAGGAACUUUGUUAUUUAAACAUACAAACUUACAAAUUCAAAGUCUAAUCUGCCAAUCCAACUCUUAU